ACAUUACCGAGUGAGGGCCCUCUGGGUCCAACCUCCCACCCGUGUUUAUUUUACCUUGUUGCUUCGGCGGGCCCGCCUUAACUGGCCGCCGGGGGGCUCACGCCCCCGGGCCCGCGCCCGCCGAAGACACCCUCGAACUCUGUCUGAAGAUUGAAGUCUGAGUGAAAAUAUAAAUUAUUUAAAACUUUCAACAACGGAUCUCUUGGUUCCGGCAUCGAUGAAGAACGCAGCGAAAUGCGAUACGUAAUGUGAAUUGCAAAUUCAGUGAAUCAUCGAGUCUUUGAACGCACAUUGCGCCCCCUGGUAUUCCGGGGGGCAUGCCUGUCCGAGCGUCAUUGCUGCCCUCAAGCCCGGCUUGUGUGUUGGGCCCCGUCCUCCGAUCUCCGGGGGACGGGCCCGAAAGGCAGCGGCGGCACCGCGUCCGGUCCUCGAGCGUAUGGGGCUUUGUCACCCGCUCUGUAGGCCCGGCCGGCGCUUGCCGAUCAACCCAAAUUUUUAUCCAGGUUGACCUCGGAUCAGGUAGGGAUACCCGCUGAACUUAAGCAU
This 546-nucleotide ribosomal RNA is filed under the name Penicillium commune. Its description in RNAcentral is "eukaryotic LSU rRNA". The stretch from base 183 to 335 matches the Rfam family "5.8S ribosomal RNA". Lineage: Eukaryota; Fungi; Ascomycota; Eurotiomycetes; Eurotiales; Aspergillaceae. The record is from RNAcentral.